CCUACGGGAGGCAGCAGUGAGGACUAUUGGUCAAUGGACGAGAGUCUGAACCAGCCAAGUAGCGUGAAGGAUGACUGCCCUAUGGGUUGUAAACUUCUUUUAUAAAGGACUAAAACGAGGCACGUGUGCCUUUUUGCAUGUACUUUAUGAAUAAGGAUCGGCUAACUCCGUGCCAGCAGCCGCGGUAAUACGGAGGAUCCGAGCGUUAUCCGGAUUUAUUGGGGUUAAAGGUAGCGUAGAUGGGUUGUUAAGUCAGUUGUGAAAGUUUGCGGCUCAACCGUAAAAUUGCAAUUGAUACUGGCAGUCGUGAGUACAGUUGAGGUAGGCGGAAUUCGUGGUGUAGCGGUGAAAUGCUUAGAUAUCACGAAGAACCCCGAUUGCGAAGGCAGCUUACUAAACUGUGACUGACAUUGAUGCUCGAAAGUGUGGGUAUCAAACAGGAUUAGAUACCCGGGUAGUC
Molecule: ribosomal RNA, 460 nt
Filed under: uncultured bacterium
Lineage: Bacteria
Description: partial 16S ribosomal RNA
Rfam family: Bacterial small subunit ribosomal RNA
Source: RNAcentral